UUGUGCAAAAAAACGACAUCGAGAUUUUUGAAAUGAAAACAAUUUACGUGUUAAUUACAACAAAAACUUUAUCUGUAUAGAUUUUUGAAAAAUCCAGAUAAUUAUCCAGAUUUUACUUUCUCUCGAUAGAAAACAGUACUGCCAAGGUACAUUACACUUAUUAAAUGUCAGAUUCCAAUAAACGACAGCUGCAGUUGACAGAUAUAUGACAAAAAAAAAUUUAAUAUUUAAAAUUGAAUUCAAUUAGGAAUAACAAACAACACAAAUCAAUGAUUCACGUGUUUGCAAGAGUGCGAUAUCUUCCCCAAAAUUAAAGAGAAAAACCUGAAAAGGAGAUGGAAAGAAUUAUUUCACAAAAGAAGAAUUCUGUGUACUGUGCGCUUGGGUCUUAAUCGUGUCGGUACCUUCAACCCUCACAGCCAAAAUGUAAUGUAAAAUGCUCUUGGAAUGCCCGCUCGUUUGCGAAAACGUCUAUUCUUAGACGAUCAACAUGAAUAAAUGAUAACAAAGCUCUUGUUGUUAAUAAAUUGCCUCAUUAGAAUGCCCACCACAAAAACAGUCUCUUACAUUUUUAAAAUGAUACACGUCAUGUAUGUGCGCUGCAAAGAAAAGCAAAUACAAACAUACCUCCCGAAAAAUAUUCCCCCAGGAAACACUUUUCAGCCCAAACAGCAGACAGCAACAAGCAAGACAAUCCUAACAUUGCAUUAUGCAGCUCAUUCAACACCCAAAAAUCCUUCAGCUCCCGUUGAUGAAAAACCAUUUUAUAAGAGAUCGCUUCACUGCGUUCAAACUUGGACGACAUGUGCAUGAUAAGUGAAGUGUGGAAACAAAUGGCAUGUUGAAAGUGGUAAUUGUUUCAGAGCAUCAUUUAGCUCCCCAAUUGGUUGCAGGUAAUAUUUUUAUUGAUUCUCCUUUUUUGGUUCGAUAUAUUCCUUAUGUACU
Long non-coding RNA from Episyrphus balteatus (marmalade hoverfly), 945 nucleotides. RefSeq lists it as uncharacterized. The record is from RefSeq and is a predicted model, not a curated record. NCBI's taxonomy places the organism in Eukaryota, Metazoa, Arthropoda, Insecta, Diptera, Syrphidae. The transcript has 3 exons.